This is a non-coding RNA of Macrostomum lignano, 195 nucleotides long. Lineage: Eukaryota; Metazoa; Platyhelminthes; Macrostomidae. The record is from Rfam.
AUCGCUUCUCGGCCUUAUUGGCUAAGAUCAAAGUGUAGUUUCUGUUCUUUAGAGAUUAAUUCCUCUAACGUAGUCCAUUGGACUACUAAGUAAUUAAUCCGGUUUUUGAUGAGUCGGGCCAGUGCUUCGUGUUCACACGACCUGGUCCACGCGUAGGCCUUGCGCUGCAGUACAGCAAGGAUCUGCGCAUCUUAG